AAAUAUAUUAAAUUUUUUAAAAUAAAUAUGAAUGUUUAUAAUAUAUAAUUUUUUAUUAUUUUUUACUAACAAUCUAUAGUAGGGGUGGAUAUUAAAUCAAAUUUAGAUAAAUUUGAACCUAUCAAAAUUUAUUUAGAUCAAAUUUAAAUUAACCUCCAAAUUCGAUCGGAUAAAAAAUUUACAAUCUAAUCAGAUUUGAUUCGGAUCGGUUCAGACCCAGAUCAAUCCGAUUGGAUUGCCAUUUGCAAUUAAAAUAUAUAUAUAUGUUACUAAAUUAUAAAUAAAAAAUAAAAGUUAAAUAGUAGCCCUAAACUAAAUCCUUAAAAUCCCAAAUUACAAAGAAUAAAAGAAGCCUUUGCAGCCGCAUAAACCCAGAAUCGAAGAAGCACUUGCUGGCUGCAGCAGCACAAACCCAGCUCUUACAGGCUGCAGUAGCACGAAACCAGCCAAAGGAUCAGAGAACCACUUGUAGCUGAUGAACCCGUCUUUGAGUCUCAAGUCGUCGAUGCCUUAGCUGCAUGCCAACGACGUCAGCCGCUAAGGCCGUGAGCCGCACGUUGCUACGCUUCCGGCUAAAGCCACAACAGAAGUUGAAGUCCCAAACCCAGCCGCUGCAUUUAUUUCUUUAUUGCAAGGGUUUCCAAUGGAAUUGGAUCUAUCAAAGCUUGUGAGGUGCAGAGAAAUAAGAAUAGAUAUUUAUCUUUCGAAAAAUUACAGAGAUUUGGGUCUUUUGACUUUCAAUUUUUGUCUUUCUUUUCUCCAUUUGCUGGCUUGCUGCAUUUGUUCUUAUUUGUGUGAUUUCAAUUUUGUAUUACAACUUGAAAAUGACUUGGAUUCAUCUGAUUUAUUUGAGCAAUUUCAAUAUGAUAUUACUAAUCCGAAUCCGAAUUAAUCUAAACUAUUCAUCCGAUCCGAACUUAUUCGAAUCGAUUUUGAAUUCGGAUUACAUUCGGAUGACUUUUUUACCAAUCCGAACAAUCCGAAAUCCGAUCGGAUUGAAUCGAAUCCGAUCGGAUUGAAUCGAAUCCGAUCUGUAUCUGAAUUUGCCCACCCCUAAUUUGUAGCUCUUCUAUAACUUUCAUUAUCUCACAAAAAAUGAUGAUCCAUAAUGUUUCUAUUAAUUUUAUAGAGUAAUUAUGUCACUAUAAAAUGAAAGCUUAUCGCUUUAUUUUAUAUACACUUGAAAU
This 1187-nucleotide long non-coding RNA is filed under the name Citrus maxima (pomelo). RNAcentral describes it as "long non-coding RNA (CMAX_LNC000423)". The record is from RNAcentral. Lineage: Eukaryota; Viridiplantae; Streptophyta; Magnoliopsida; Sapindales; Rutaceae.